RNAcentral lists this ribosomal RNA (401 nucleotides) under uncultured bacterium. Its description in RNAcentral is "partial 16S ribosomal RNA". It matches the Rfam family "Bacterial small subunit ribosomal RNA", at positions 338 to 755 of the family's 1533-position model. The record is from RNAcentral.
CCUACGGGUGUCAGCAGUGGGGAAGAUUGCACAAUGGGGGAAACCCUGAUGCAGCAACGCCGCGUGAGUGAAGAAGGUUUUCGGAUUGUAAAGCUCUGGUAGCAGGGAAGAGGAAGGACGGUACCUGCAGAGGAAGCCACGGCUAACUACGUGCCAGCAGCCGCGGUAAUACGUAGGUGGCAAGCGUGGUUCGGAAUCACUGGGCGUAAUGGAUGCGUAGGCGGUUAAACAAGUUAUAUGUUAAAUAUAUAGGCUUAACCUGUAGAAAGCAUAUAAAACUGUUUAACUAGAGUGCAGGAGAGGUAAGUGGAAUUCCUUGUGUCGCGGUGAACUGUGUAGCGAUUAGGAAGAACACCAGUGGCGAAGGCGACUUACUGGACUGUACCUGACGCUGAGGCAUG